GAUUAACGCUGGCGGCAUGCCUAAUACAUGCAAGUCGAACGAAUCACUUCGGUGGUUAGUGGCGAACGGGUGAGUAAUACGUAAGCAACCUGCCUAUGGGACUGGGAUAACGUUUGGAAACGGACGCUAAUACCGGAUAGGUAGAGAGGAGGCAUCUCUUCUCUAUUAAAAGUUUAGAUACACCGAUAGAUGGGCUUACGGCGCAUUAGCUAGUUGGUGAGGUAACGGCUCACCAAGGCGAUGAUGCGUAGCCGGACUGAGAGGUUGAACGGCCACAUUGGGACUGAGAAACGGCCCAAACUCCUACGGGAGGCAGCAGUGAGGAAUAUUGGUCAAUGGACGAGAGUCUGAACCAGCCAAGUAGCGUGAAGGAUGACUGCCCUAUGGGUUGUAAACUUCUUUUGUUUGGGAAUAAAGUGAGGGACGUGUCCCUUUUGUAUGUACCAUUCGAAUAAGCAUCGGCUAAUUCCGUG
RNAcentral lists this ribosomal RNA (473 nucleotides) under uncultured bacterium. RNAcentral's name for it is "bacterial SSU rRNA". It matches the Rfam family "Bacterial small subunit ribosomal RNA", at positions 28 to 507 of the family's 1533-position model. The record is from RNAcentral.